GAGACUAUAAUUUAAUAAAAAUAUUUAAUUUGCACUUAAAAAAUGUUUACAGACUAAUCUCU
This 62-nucleotide transfer RNA is filed under the name Halice sp. JL-2018. RNAcentral's name for it is "tRNA-Ala". Lineage: Eukaryota; Metazoa; Arthropoda; Malacostraca; Amphipoda; Pardaliscidae. The record is from RNAcentral.